Long non-coding RNA from Ipomoea nil (Japanese morning glory), 91 nucleotides. RefSeq lists it as uncharacterized. The transcript is spliced from 3 exons. NCBI's taxonomy places the organism in Eukaryota, Viridiplantae, Streptophyta, Magnoliopsida, Solanales, Convolvulaceae. The record is from RefSeq and is a predicted model, not a curated record.
AGUAUAGAUUGAUCAUCAAAACUUCUAUUGGGGGCAUUCAAGAAAGUACAGACUUAGGUAGCAUGAAAUGUGACAUAUGUAUAUGAAUUAU